Molecule: transfer RNA, 77 nt
Filed under: Escherichia phage JLBYU50
Lineage: Duplodnaviria; Heunggongvirae; Uroviricota; Caudoviricetes
Description: tRNA-Phe
Rfam family: tRNA
About the family: Transfer RNA (tRNA) molecules are approximately 80 nucleotides in length. Their secondary structure includes four short double-helical elements and three loops (D, anti-codon, and T loops).
Source: RNAcentral
UGCAGAGAUAGCUGAGACGGAUUAGUGCUACCCUGAAAAGGUAGAAAGGAUGGAUCGUUACCAUCUCUCUGCACCAA